GUGGGGAAUUUUGGACAAUGGGCGCAAGCCUGAUCCAGCAAUGCCGCGUGCAGGAAGAAGGCCUUCGGGUUGUAAACUGCUUUUGUACGGAACGAAACGGUCCUGGCUAAUAUCCGGGGCUAAUGACGGUACCGUAAGAAUAAGCACCGGCUAACUACGUGCCAGCAGCCGCGGUAAUACGUAGGGUGCGAGCGUUAAUCGGAAUUACUGGGCGUAAAGCGUGCGCAGGCGGUGCUGUAAGACAGGCGUGCAAUCCCCGGGCUCAACCUGGGAAUUGCGCUUGUGACUGCAGUGCUGGAGUGCGGCAGAGGGGGAUGGAAUUCCGCGUGUAGCAGUGAAAUGCGUAGAUAUGCGGAGGAACACCGAUGGCGAAGGCAAUCCCCUGGGCCUGCACUGACGCUCAUGCACGAAAGCGUGGGGAGCAAACAGGAUUAGAUACCCGAGUAGUCC
Molecule: ribosomal RNA, 450 nt
Filed under: uncultured bacterium
Lineage: Bacteria
Description: partial 16S ribosomal RNA
Rfam family: Bacterial small subunit ribosomal RNA
Source: RNAcentral